Molecule: ribosomal RNA, 405 nt
Filed under: uncultured bacterium
Lineage: Bacteria
Description: bacterial SSU rRNA
Rfam family: Bacterial small subunit ribosomal RNA
Source: RNAcentral
AAUGGGCGCAAGCCUGAACCAGCCAUCCCGCGUGCAGGAAGAAGGCGCUAUGCGUUGUAAACUGCUUUUCCAGGGGGCGAACCUCCCGCACGAGUGCGGGACUGACGGUACCUUGGGAAUAAGCAUCGGCUAACUCCGUGCCAGCAGCCGCGGUAAUACGGAGGAUGCGAGCGUUAUCCGGAUUUAUUGGGUUUAAAGGGUGCGUAGGCGGAUUAAUAAGUCAGUGGUGAAAACCUGCAGCUUAACUGUGGAACUGCCGUUGAUACUGUUAGUCUUGAGUAUGGUCAAGGUAGGCGGAAUGUGUAAUGUAGCGGUGAAAUGCUUAGAUAUUACACAGAACACCGAUUGCGAAGGCAGCUUACUGGGCCGUUACUGACGCUGAUGCACGAAAGCGUGGGGAUCGAA